RNAcentral lists this ribosomal RNA (457 nucleotides) under uncultured bacterium. RNAcentral describes it as "bacterial SSU rRNA". It matches the Rfam family "Bacterial small subunit ribosomal RNA", at positions 346 to 793 of the family's 1533-position model. The record is from RNAcentral.
AGGCAGCAGUGGGGAAUAUUGCACAAUGGGGGAAACCCUGAUGCAGCCAUGCCGCGUGUGUGAAGAAGGCCUUCGGGUUGUAAAGCACUUUCAGUAGGGAGGAAGGUAGUGUAGUUAACACCUGCACUAUUUGACGUUACCUACAGAAGAAGCACCGGCUAACUCCGUGCCAGCAGCCGCGGUAAUACGGAGGGUGCGAGCGUUAAUCGGAAUUACUGGGCGUAAAGCGCAUGCAGGCGGCCUGUUAAGUCAGAUGUGAAAGCCCGGGGCUUAACCUCGGAAUUGCAUUUGAAACUGGCAGGCUAGAGUCUUGUAGAGGGGGGUAGGAAUUUCAGGUGUAGCGGUGAAAUGCGUAGAGAUCUGAAGGAAUACCAGUGGCGAAGGCGGCCCCCUCGGACAAAGACUGACGCUCAGAUGCGAAAGCGUGGGGAGCAAACAGGAUUAGAUACCCUGGUAG